This 376-nucleotide long non-coding RNA is filed under the name Sinocyclocheilus grahami. Its description in RNAcentral is "lncRNA (ENSSGRG00000036552.1)". The record is from RNAcentral. Lineage: Eukaryota; Metazoa; Chordata; Actinopteri; Cypriniformes; Cyprinidae.
UCCGCCUGUCCUACGAAGGCCGUCUCGUUUAAUUCUAGGUUGAGGACACUUCGUACAUGCAUCCCACAGAGGAAUGACUGUGAAGAAAACUUGUAAUUCGACAAAAGGAAACAUUUACUUUCAUCUCCAGGAAAUCGAAAGUUAUGCUGCACCGGCGCAGUGGGAGUCGCGAUUUUGGUAACUGCGCGCGCACGCACGCACUGCGACGCUUUUGUUUAUUAGAUUCGUCCAUUCAUCCUGCGCGAGAGGGUGGUGGCUGAACCCGCGUCAGUGCAGGAAAGACGAGCCACUGUGAGUUUGUUUGUUUGUUUGUAAUCCCAAAAUAUUCUAGAAUAUAGUGUAACCAAACUUCAUAUUUUGUCACUGCAGAACGGGG